UAAGGGAAGAACACGUACGAGAGUAACUGCUCGUACCUUGACGGUACCUUAUUAGAAAGCCACGGCUAACUACGUGCCAGCAGCCGCGGUAAUACGUAGGUGGCAAGCGUUGUCCGGAAUUAUUGGGCGUAA
RNAcentral lists this ribosomal RNA (132 nucleotides) under bacterium br24(2011). RNAcentral's name for it is "partial small subunit ribosomal RNA". It matches the Rfam family "Bacterial small subunit ribosomal RNA", at positions 439 to 563 of the family's 1533-position model. The record is from RNAcentral.